UGAUCACUGCUCUGAUGGCUCUAUUGGGUAGAUAGAUGAGAAACACAAAAGCCUGAAAUUAUUUUCAUUACACAGAGCCUGGAGCAAGAUAAACCUCUGCCAGAGCCUGAGUGGGGUACAGAAAUACAGCGUUGCUUAGGAACUGGAUUCUUCCUGGUUUCCUUUAUUUGUUUUUCCUUGAUAGCGCAAAAACUGAUGAGGUCCUUAAUCCUACCUGAUCACAGUAAAAGAAGUGUGGUGGUGUUGUGAGCUUGGCCCAAAGAAUCAAGAGGGGAACAGGCUUCUCUUUUUCAAGACCUCUUGGAAAAAGGUGGUACUGCCUCUUUACAGGCAGACAAUGCCCUUCCAAGGAGUGUUCCCAGCAGGGGCUAUCAAAGCCAGGGGAGACCUAACAGAUUUUUAACUGUGGCCAGCUAUUGAUUCUCCCAUUCUGGGCCUUGUUGCACAGUGCAGCUCAUUCCACUGGAAAUGAAUCCUACUGAAGCUGUGCCAGUUGGAAAGUACCAAACAUGAGAAAUAUUUGGUGUGAUCAAGUACCAUAUUUGACAGAGAAGUUACCUUGGCUUCAGCAAUUGAU
Passer domesticus (house sparrow) is the source of this 577-nucleotide long non-coding RNA. RefSeq lists it as uncharacterized. The record is from RefSeq and is a predicted model, not a curated record. NCBI's taxonomy places the organism in Eukaryota, Metazoa, Chordata, Aves, Passeriformes, Passeridae. The transcript has 5 exons.